UUUAUUAAAAAUUUCUUGCCUAUCCAAUACAUAGUUUUUUUUUUAUAUUUUCAAUUGAAUUAAUAUUUUAUAAUUUUUCUAUUGGAUGAUUUAAGUCUUAUUUUGUUCUAUUAUCUUACUUAGUUAUCUUUACAUAUUUAGAAAUUAAAAAUUUUAUUAUUAAUAUAAAUAAAUAUUAUAAUUAAUAUAAAAUGAUAAAUAAAAUUUAUCAUUUUAAUUAUAAAUGCGUUAGAUUAAAGAAUCUUCAUUGCCACUUAU
RNAcentral lists this long non-coding RNA (258 nucleotides) under Vigna radiata. RNAcentral describes it as "long non-coding RNA (VRAD_LNC017065)". Lineage: Eukaryota; Viridiplantae; Streptophyta; Magnoliopsida; Fabales; Fabaceae. The record is from RNAcentral.